Molecule: long non-coding RNA, 1845 nt
Organism: Aedes aegypti (yellow fever mosquito)
Lineage: Eukaryota; Metazoa; Arthropoda; Insecta; Diptera; Culicidae
Exons: 3
Source: RefSeq, a predicted model, not a curated record
CGUAGGUACUUCCGGAGCAAGUGUCCCAUCGCACGGCGUGGCCAAAUCUACGAUGCUGUAAGCGGUGGUUGGGUGCAUCGUGUUAUUAACUUAGUGAAGAGAUUCGAAUCGCGCACACACAUUAGUAGGCCAUGUAACGAUAUUCAAGUGCAGUGAACGUAAGCGCAAUCGGUCGUUGUCGUCGCCGCCUUCGUCGUCAUCGGGCUUACUCCAGCUGAGCGUGUUUUUGCUCACACAAACUCUCGCGCAUCACUCCGGGCAUGCGACUCAAGUUAAGUCGCGAUUUUUUCAACUAUUUUCUUCGCUUUCCGCUUAGUUUUCAUUUGGAGCUCUAGUUAUUAGCAGUUUUCAAGUUCAUUCGAAUAGUAGCGCGGUGCGGUGUUUUCCAGCCAUAGAAUCAAGGCUACAAGUGUUUUCCCGAUAUCGGAGUGUUCCAAUUCCAAGUGGAUUUUGUCAUUUUAAUCGUGAUCGCGAACGAAAAUAACCGGAGCAGCUAGAAGGAACGAUCGUGCGGUUAAGAACGUAUUCGCCUUCCUUACUCGCUCUGUCUCUCUGCUAUCGACUUUUCGGUUUCUCUUUCUCGAUUCAGUGCAUUCCGGCUUAAUUCGUCGAUAUUCUUUUGCGUUGUUCGGUUGCGUGGUCAAACGUUGUUUUUGUUUAUAUCUGUUUUAUUUUUGUGAGGGUUUGCACCUGGAUUGUGCAUCAUCGUCGUAUAGUGUUAGAAUUUUAAAUGCCAACAAAAUCAUCUUUUUGUGUGCGCCGAAGUGUAUCAUCAAACUUAUCGAAUUGGUGAUAAAAAAUUGAAGCGGAAAACUAAAUUCCAAAACAACCAAGAGUGGGGAUCCCCGUGUUACGAAACGAAGUUACGUGCUGCAAAAAUAUCAUUCUCCGAUAAUUAAAAGCAAGCAAGCUAACGCAGGAAACGAGGAAGCAGAAAUCACAAAAUUGAAUGGAAGUUUAUGUGUGCAGAAUUUAAAGCAGUUUUUCUAUGAAUCGUCGAUUGUGAAGUGAAGUGAUACACCUUUGCAGUUGAAUGGUGAAGCAGAAGGCAAUAUAAUUAAUUAAACUUCAGUUUGAAGAGCUCUGCGUUCCCCCACUUCGAUUUUGUCGCGUUGUUCUGGGUUCGAAGAGUUUUGCGGAUAUUUUCCACCACCACCCGGCUCGUCCUGCUUAUUAGAGUUAUUGGAUUUUACUGCAGGACCGGGAAAAGUGCUGCCUCUCAGUCAUCAUCCACAGAGCACAGCCAUCGACAAAUCGGAUCAGCGAAUUGGAAUGUCAUUGAAGAAAGAAACCCUAUCAGAUGUACAGCUGCACUUGGCUGCAUUACGCGGAGACGAAAUGUUGCUGAAACGUGUUUUGGAUAGCGGCAAGGUGCACGUGGACUGCCGUGACGAGGUAGGUGUACAAUUGCGGUGGUUUUGGUGGUGCUAAUCAGGAUCAAAUAAUAACGUGUCUGACUAUGUGUGAGGUGCGAAUAUGCUGGGGGAAUAUAAAUGAAGGAAUUGGAUGGAUUGUUUGGCAGGUGGCACAUUUAUAGUGCACCCAAUUGAAUACCUUUUCCGGAGGGGUUGCAGAUCAGCGCAAAUUAAUCUGGCAUGUGCUUAAUUUGGAAGGUAGUUUUCAUGAGUGUUAUUAUAAUGAAUAGAGAAGAUUGGUGAUCGAUCUAUUUUACACUUAUUCAAAUUUUGAUAAUUAAGAAUUUUGGGUAGUACUUGCACGACACUAAAAAUCAAAACCUUAUUUAACAUGCUUCACCAACGGAGGCAGGACGUUUUACAUUAUUUCAUGGGUGGAAAUUUCGUAUAACGGACGUUUGGCAUAAACCCAGAUAGCCGUAGCGGUAAA